AUCAGACAGCGGUCCGCUCAGUCGCGUCUUGGAGCCGGUGCAAGGAGGCGACUCGCCUGCGCAGGGGAGGGAAGGCCAUGGCAGACCGUGACCGCAUCGACGAUAUCCUUUCGGCGGUUGGGUAUGGCCGCUGGCAGAUACCCAUAUUAAUGGCUACCAUUGUAGCCAACACCAUUCCCCUGCACUACAUGGCCUCCUCGCUGCUGAAUGCCCCCAUGUCCUUCCGCUGCUUUGCG
Penaeus vannamei (Pacific white shrimp) is the source of this 236-nucleotide non-coding RNA. The record is from RefSeq and is a predicted model, not a curated record. Lineage: Eukaryota; Metazoa; Arthropoda; Malacostraca; Decapoda; Penaeidae.